GUAGUCAUAUGCUUGUCUCAAAGAUUAAGCCAUGCAUGUCUAAGUAUAAGCAAUUACAAAGCGAAACUGCGAAUGGCUCAUUAUAUAAGUUAUCGUUUAUUUGAUAGUACCUUACUACAUGGAUAACCGUGGUAAUUCUAGAGCUAAUACAUGCUGAAAAUCCCGACUUCGGAAGGGAUGUAUUUAUUGGAUACAAAACCAAUGCCCUUCGGGGCUCUCUUGGUGAUUCAUGAUAACUUCUCGAAUCGCACGGCCCCGCGCCGGCGAUGGUUCAUUCAAAUUUCUUCCCUAUCAACUUUCGAUGCUACGGUAUUGUCCUAGCAUGGUUGCAACGGGUGACGGAGGGUUAGGGCUCGACCCCGGAGAAGGAGCCUGAGAAACGGCUACUACAUCCAAGGAAGGCAGCAGGCGCGCAAAUUACCCAAUCCCGACUCGGGGAGGUAGUGACGAUAAAUACCGAUACAGGGCUCUUUUGGGUCCUGUAAUUGGAAUGAGUACAAUUC
RNAcentral lists this ribosomal RNA (503 nucleotides) under uncultured fungus. RNAcentral's name for it is "SSU rRNA". It matches the Rfam family "Eukaryotic small subunit ribosomal RNA", at positions 20 to 526 of the family's 1831-position model. The record is from RNAcentral. Lineage: Eukaryota; Fungi.